Molecule: ribosomal RNA, 253 nt
Filed under: uncultured bacterium
Lineage: Bacteria
Description: partial 16S ribosomal RNA
Rfam family: Bacterial small subunit ribosomal RNA
Source: RNAcentral
UACGUAGGGACCAAGCGUUGUUCGGAUUUAUUGGGCGUAAAGCGCGUGUAGGCGGUCCGGUAAGUCCGCUGUGAAAGUCGGGGGCUCAACCCUCGAAUGCCGGUGGAUACUGUCGGGCUAGAGUGCGGAAGAGGCGAGUGGAAUUCCUGGUGUAGCGGUGAAAUGCGCAGAUAUCAGGAGGAACACCAAUUGCGAAGGCAGCUCGCUGGGACGUUACUGACGCUGAGGCACGAAGGCCAGGGGAGCAAACGGG